RNAcentral lists this ribosomal RNA (433 nucleotides) under uncultured bacterium. RNAcentral describes it as "partial 16S ribosomal RNA". It matches the Rfam family "Bacterial small subunit ribosomal RNA", at positions 29 to 507 of the family's 1533-position model. The record is from RNAcentral.
AGCGAACGCUGGCGGCAGGCCUAACACAUGCAAGUCGAACGGAUCCUUCGGGAUUAGUGGCGGACGGGUGAGUAACACGUGGGAACGUGCCCUUUGGUUCGGAACAACUCAGGGAAACUUGAGCUAAUACCGGAUGUGCCCUUCGGGGGAAAGAUUUAUCGCCAUUGGAGCGGCCCGCGUCUGAUUAGCUAGUUGGUGAGGUAACGGCCCACCAAGGCGACGAUCAGUAGCUGGUCUGAGAGGAUGAUCAGCCACACUGGGACUGAGUCACGGCCCAGACUCCUACGGGAGGCAGCAGUGGGGAAUCUUGCGCAAUGGGCGAAAGCCUGACGCAGCCAUGCCGCGUGAAUGAUGAAGGUCUUAGGAUUGUAAAAUUCUUUCAGCGGGGACGAUAAUGACGGUACCCGCAGAAGAAGCUCCGGCUAACUUCGUG